Long non-coding RNA from Tachysurus fulvidraco (yellow catfish), 3511 nucleotides. RefSeq lists it as uncharacterized. The transcript has 3 exons. NCBI's taxonomy places the organism in Eukaryota, Metazoa, Chordata, Actinopteri, Siluriformes, Bagridae. The record is from RefSeq and is a predicted model, not a curated record.
CCCAACUGCUCGACUCCAUUCAUCCUCGAGAGGGAACAAAAAAGUGGCUAUUUAUUAGAAUACUUGUUUGCCAUUGUUUCGCGCCACACAAAAGGCGCUUCAUUAUUGUGUAGUGAGUGGUGGGAUGGAUGAACCGGGCUUGCGCAGCUUUGGCGCACUAAACUAGUUUUUAAGAGGGAUGGAGCAAUAGUCACGAGCAACAACAGUUUUCCAGCACUGCAAAUCAGGAACCGUGGAACUCCCGGGUGAUUGUGAGAGACUCUACAGGAAUUUGGCAGGACCGGAGUUUGGAGAGGCGCCCCCACGCUGCGCUGCCAUUCAGUGGUCGAGCGCGCUGUGUGGUUGGGAAGUUUGCACUGAGCCGUGGCCUCAAUAGCUUCACAAAGCUGAUUACAAGCCCCAGCGAGUUCGUGAAGGGAUCGGGCCAGUCACACAGGUGUGCGUUAGAUAGGGGGCAGCCCUCUAGAGCGGGACAAGGCGGGGGGACCACACAAAAAGCCAAAGUGUCCCACUAAAUUGGUGGGAAAAGGGUGUGUAAGCUGAGGGAAAACGCCACCUUUACAAAUGCCAUCCCAUAAAAGUGAGUGCCCAGAGGAAAAUUUUAGUAACAGGGCCGGUUUUUAUUGCAGCUCCUUUAAAAUGUAAGACUGUACAUCACCGUGUUACUAAUUUGUGGCAUAUGAAAAUUUGUAUAACCUAAGCACAUUUUGUUAAGCUGCAGUUAACUAGUGUUUUAAUUAUAUAAUAACGUAGUGAUGAGGGUUAACAGAGAAACACACACACACACACACACACACACACACACACACACACACACACACACACACACACACACACACACACACACACACACACACACACAUACACACAAACGCAGUCGCUUUGCUUAAUCCAUUCUCUCUUAUUCCCUCUGCUCCGCAAAAUAUGACAUCAGUGGUCCAGGCAGCGUUUUUAAUUAAAGCGGAGUCUAACUAUCAAUUACUCAAGAAAAACAGAGGCUCCCUAAGGGCCGCUAAUCAGCAUCCGAACAGUCGGUCUGCUCGCUCAUUACGGCAACACUACAGUCGGCAGUGAUAAUCAGCCGCAUCUGCCCGUUUCCCUCAUUUACUGCAUCUGAAUGUUCUCAUUCACAACUUCCUAACGCAAUUCUCACGCAUGACGCUGUGUUUGUAUUUUUCCUGAUUAACAACAUAAUAAGCUACUAUCCUUAAACGGUAGAAUAACUGAAGCUCCAGCCAGCCUAUGAAAACUGUGAUGCGUGAUACGCCUAAUUACUGUAAUAGAGUUUGGACAGCAGUUUUCCACUCACGUGGGUCCGUAAGUGUUUGGAUUAUGUUUGAGAAAAGCGCACAAUAUCCCAAUUUAUACGGCUUAUUUAUCCUUUUUAGAACCAUGGGUGAGUCUAAUGGUCAAAAGACAGCUCAGUGGAUUAUUAUUAUUACUUUUUUCCAUGAAAAGGCUGCAGACCAGUAAGCCCAUUCUUAGGCGUUUCUUUUAUAAUUUUUUUAUAACAUUUGUGAUAAUAAUUCAGUUCCGCAAACAGAGAUCUUGUUGGGUCCCGGCUCUCUGUGCGUAUUUCUGCAUUCAUGUCUUCCACCAAAAAAAAGUCCUUUAAUCCAUUGUAACUUUGGCUUCACCUGGGUCCUGUCACCCCCGUCGUCCUCGGGUGAUGAGGGGACAAAAGCGCCUAGGCUCGUCAUUCAGGCGCGACCGACUAUGCUAAUUGAAGUAAAUGGCGAAUACUGAUCCCGAUUUUGCGGAGAUCUUCAGACCUUAGGGCAGCUGCAAUUCCUCUGUUCUCUACACACAUUCCCCUAACAACUCCAACUCCUUGUUACUGUAUGUCUGGGUAUGUGAACGCUGGCAAUUCAGAGUAUGCAUGUCUUAUAAAAAUUCGACUUCUAGUCACAAAUGCGCGUACCUUCUCGCUUCUGGGGAGCUGUCCUAGUUCUGAAAUGCCUAGCACGCAAAACGUCUCAGUUCUUACAUCUCAGUAGUCCAAACAAAGCAACUAAAAAAGGAGGGAUGACGUUAGCAUCAGUGUUUAUGUGAAAUUCAUUCUUGUAUGCAUUUUUUUUUCCUAUUAGGUAUUUUAACGUGAAUUAAUUUGCUAGGGUUUGAGUACUAUGAGGUCUAUAUAGGGUAAAAUGUAUUAGACAGAAAAUGUUUAUUAAGUUAAGUAUUGCAUCAUUUUUUAUUAGAACAUACAUGGCACAUUUUUCGUUAUUUUUGUUGCUCUUCUACCACUAAAACAAUGUUUUCAUAUCUCAUUAUGGUCAAAAUGUUGUUUAUUAGAAAAGCUCUUGCACACAUGUCUGUAGUUGGUUAACAACAAGAGUGAUAAUACAGUAGCUUUAGUUAAUGAUGCAAGAAUUGUUUAGGCAUCUCUCUAAUUGCAUACUGUUUUGGUUUGAAAUCAAACAGCAAUAAGCAAAUGGUGUGAGCAAUCAACAACCCAAAGGUCAGCUGUAAAUCACUUUCCUUGUAUAUAGUUGACCCAUCUCAUGAGGUAAACUUGUUCUCAGCAGGGGUUCACAAAUGGGUUUUUGAAUUGUUUGCUGUUUUGGGGCUGCACUGUGCCUCUGUAUUUUGUGAUUGGGGAUAAACUUUGUGUCUGAUUGUGUUGUGCUUUUACAUCUGAAAGACAGAGACAGAUAGAGAGAAACCACAACAAAGGAUUUGAUGUUCAGGGAUUGAUUAUUGAUUUUGUGGUGUCCAUCUUUGUGAGUUUUUUUUUUUAAGGAAUGGAGGGAAGGUGGAAAAGUGAAGCAUGCAGACCAUCAGAAGGGAUGUUGCAGAGGGGAAGUGGAGACUGCGUGGACAGUUGAUGACAACAGGAGCACCUGCUUUGAAGACAGUGUGGCGGAUGGAGGGCAGAGGGGUUGGGGUGAUAAUGGCACACCCCACUGAGAGUUAUUACUUAAAGACUGUGCUGGGAUGAAAUGACAUUGUAAUGGGAGGGUACUUUAUGCCCUGUUUUUCAGGAACUAGGUAUUCUUGCUUUACAGCUUAUCUCUGUCCCAUUUUCUCUCUCUCUCUCUCUCUAUCUCUCUCUCUCUCUCUCUCUCUCUCUCUCUCUCUCUCUCUCUCUCUCUCUCUGUUAUAAAGUCCCUUCUUUAUUAGUCUUUAUGUUAAAAAGACUUUCUACAUAAAUUUGCAGUAUAAAAAACUGAUUUAAUCAUUUGCUAAUAUUUGAGUAGAGGAGGAGCGUAACUAAUCUCCACAGGCAUGUGUGUGCCAAAUGUAUUUUAAAGUCCUUUUGCUCAGUCAUAUCCUAGGAAGUGCACAUGAAAUUUGGUGUACAUAUUCAAAUAUGCUUAGGACUUUGGAUGAAGCAUUUGAAAGAGUACAUUUGUUCAUUUGAUACAAAUAUACAAGGGCUUAGUUGAGCAACAAGUGUGUGUGUGUGUGUGUGUGUGUGUGUGUGUGUGUGUGUGUGUGUGUGUGUGUGUGUGUGUGUGUGUGUGUGUGUGUGUGUGUGUGUGUGUGUGUGUGUGAGAGAGAGAGAGAG